Molecule: non-coding RNA, 73 nt
Organism: Angiostrongylus costaricensis
Lineage: Eukaryota; Metazoa; Nematoda; Chromadorea; Rhabditida; Metastrongylidae
Source: Rfam
UGCCGCGUGGAGCAAUGGAUAACGCGUCUGCCUACGGAGCAGAAGAUUGCAGGUUCGAGUCCUGCCGUGGUCG